RNAcentral lists this long non-coding RNA (1299 nucleotides) under Pan troglodytes (chimpanzee). Its description in RNAcentral is "lincRNA". Lineage: Eukaryota; Metazoa; Chordata; Mammalia; Primates; Hominidae. The record is from RNAcentral.
GGCCUGCUGGGGGAGGGGGCCGCGGGGGGCGGGGGAGCUCACCUCCGCCGUUCUUGUAGCACAGGCUGCAGCCGUCUCCUCCCGGUGCUCGCUCCUUCCUUGAGCUCUGUCCACCGCUGCCCACUGGGGGCUAGAGCUUCCCGGCUACCCUGGAAGCUGGAGGCUGGGACCAGCUCUUCAGGUGACAGGCCUCUGUGUCCCACAGUGGCCAGAGGGAGCCUGCCUGACUGAUGAGCAAGGCUCCACUUUGUCACCAAGGCAGAGAAGGGGCCCGGCUCCCUGAUCUGAUCGUGGACACUGCAGUCCCCAGAUGGCUCAUCCCAUUAAGCUAAGCCCUCGGCCAUCCCUCCAGCUUUAGGAAGAAAAGCAGUUCUGGCUCAAGCCAGACUGAGCUUCCUGGGGUCUUCUCUGGCCCAGCCUUUGACUGAAGCUGGUCUGGAGACAGGGGCGUUAGAGAAGUGACUCAUAGAUGGCCUAAAGAAGCGGGGCCACUCAAGGACCCAGGACAGAGGGAAGAGGGCCAACCCAGCUGGACCGCAGGCAAACCCCAUGGCCUUUGAGAGAAGAGAGAAGAGGACCCGGUGAAGUAGGCUCCGAGGGCCUCAGCCCAGCAGGAGCGCAGGGAGCUGCACCAGGAACUCACAGAGGAUCAGGGAGAAUUCUGAGAACAUGCUACUGUGGUGCUGCCUAGAGAGGAAGGAUAAAUGAUGACAAGUACAUCUCUGAGUAAUGUAUGGGCACUUGUUCAUGAAAACUGUUUUUCUGAAAGCUUGUGAAGGUCUUGAAAUACUCGCUAUCAGUUGAGGACAAACAUUUACACCCUCCUUCCACAGGGAGUUCAAGCAGGCUGGAUGGGUCCAUCUAUGGAUGAUCUUCCCCAGCCCCUUCCUCUUCCCAGCUCAUCCCUGGCUCUCUGUGUGAACAGUUCUCAUCAGUGGAAUGUGGUUGAUGAAGUGAGGUCUUCAAUUUUCUCAUCUACUGUGUGGUCAUGUUAUUUUCCUCAUCUGAGGCUUAAAAACUCACCUGCAUGCAGCACAUGACAGCUUAAAAUCUCUUGUGAACAAAACAGUAACAAAGACACCCACCAGCGUUGAGCAUCCCGUGUUGAUGACAGCGACCACCAGGGGUCAACGUCCUCUUCACAAUCCUGUGUCAGAGCAUCACUUGACUGAUUUCAUUAGCAACUUCCCAGGAGAAUCAGCUUACAAAAUACUUGUCCCAUUUUCCAUGCAGAUGUAACCCAUCUAUUUUACUGAAGAAAUGGGAAGAGCUGAAUGCUGAAUACACUGAAUGUCUGCA